Gossypium raimondii (Peruvian cotton) is the source of this 1093-nucleotide long non-coding RNA. RefSeq lists it as uncharacterized. The transcript is spliced from 2 exons. Lineage: Eukaryota; Viridiplantae; Streptophyta; Magnoliopsida; Malvales; Malvaceae. The record is from RefSeq and is a predicted model, not a curated record.
GGGAAGACAACCUCUGAUGAGCUCUGCUAUAACCAGGGUCCAAUCUAACAGCCUCCUCACACUCCUUGACGGCUUCUCCCAACCUUCCCACCGCCGCCAACGCUGCUGACCUGUUACUUCGGAUCAGCAGUAGUCCCCAAUUUAGCACCGCCACCACCACGAAUUAUGCUGCCAUGUCCAUAGUUUCCUUUGCCAGCACCAAGCGUGUCGGUCUUGUUAGAGGUACGUAAGCCCAUGGUUUUUAGGAUUUUCCCAGACGGGCAAAUGUUACCACUGGGUAAAAUAUUUGUCGUGGUUGGGAUAGAACAAACAGGAGAGGAUGAAGAAGAAGAAGAAGAAGAGGUUGCUCCACUGAAGCUUGAACCAGAGUAGAUUAAAGGAGGCCCAGCAGAGACGGAUCUCCUAUGACCCGGCCUAAGAUUCCGGUUUGUUGAGACAGAUCCGGGUAUAGAUGAAGUUUUGUCCGAAAACUCCCCUGAGAAAUGGGUACUGCUUUUGCUGGAAACGGAACCGGCGGAUGAGGUAGAGCUAUUACCAGAUGUUGUAGUGAGGGCUGCAGUACUUCCAUUGUGGGUAGGGAGCAAUGGUGAAACAGGUGAAGCCAACAGAUCGAGUUGUUUGAAGUCAGGCUUGUUCAUUUCAAUGUGGUCGGUAGAUGCAAAACUGAGUGAGUGACGGUGGCGAGGGGUUUGGGAAUCAAAGCUUUGUCGUCCAGACAUAUUAGCAGCAGGAAUGGGUAUUGUUAGUGGAAUCUGGAUUGAAUUAAGAGAGAAGAAAAGGUAGUUAGUAUUUCUCUCCCUCUCUUGUGUUUAAUGUUGAAUUAAUGUCUUAGAUUAGGUAUACUAAAACACCAACACUUACGUAAUCCAAACAUUAAGCAGAGAAGGGAUCUAAAAGGAAGAUUGAAUACGAAUGUCACUCCACUGUGACAUGUCAUGUCAAGUCGAUAUACUUUAUACCCAUACUAAUCAAAUUAAAUUAUAAACCCAAUAUUGAUAUUUUUGGGUAUUUCCUCUUUUUGAUUUGCGAAAACAGUGAUCCCAAGUUUUGGGUUGUUUUCCUUUUGCAAAGUAUAAUCUUUUUCCUUUUCUAA